Molecule: non-coding RNA, 507 nt
Organism: Drosophila virilis
Lineage: Eukaryota; Metazoa; Arthropoda; Insecta; Diptera; Drosophilidae
Source: RefSeq, a predicted model, not a curated record
UUUGCAAACUGUCACACACGCCGGAGCUCAGCCGGAGUUUUAAGCUUGUGCUGGGGCGGCGAAUGAAGCUUGGGCUGGUGCUGCGGCUGGGGCUGGGGCUGGGGCGAACAAACAAAGUGUGGCCAGGAAAUGGCAGAGCGGCAACAUAUUAAUCUUUGCCAACAAGAAGGAUACGCGGCCGGGGCCAGGACGAGGCGUUGCUGCGGAAACAGGAAAAGCAGUCAAAGCAGACGUUGACAGGCAUAAGUAAUGUAAAAAAAUUACUUUAUAAUGGAGUGCGAAAAUGAAAAUUGCGACAGCAGCGCAAAAAACGCACCGACAGCAGCCGCCGCAGCGCCGUAAGACGCGUAGACAUCAAAUUUUGUGGAUUGCUACAAGCAAUUUAGCCACAGCAGCAACAGCAGCAAUAGCAACAGCAACAACAACAACUGCAACAUACCCGCACAUCAGCGACGACAGCAGGAUGUUCAUGACGCAGCGGAAAUAAAUUUUGCGUGAACAAUACAA